Molecule: ribosomal RNA, 366 nt
Filed under: uncultured bacterium
Lineage: Bacteria
Description: bacterial SSU rRNA
Rfam family: Bacterial small subunit ribosomal RNA
Source: RNAcentral
AGAGGGUGCAAGCGUUAAUCGGAGUUACUGGGCGUAAAGGGCGCGUAGGUGGUUGAUUAAGUUGGAUGUGAAAUCCCUGGGCUUAACCUAGGAACUGCAUCCAAUACUGAUUGACUAGAGUAUUGUAGAGGGUAGUGGAAUUUCCGGUGUAGCGGUGAAAUGCGUAGAGAUCGGAAGGAACACCAGUGGCGAAGGCGGCUACCUGGACAAAUACUGACACUGAGGCGCGAGAGCGUGGGGAGCAAACAGGAUUAGAUACCCUGGUAGUCCACGCUGUAAACGAUGAAAACUAGAUGUUGGGCAGCAUGACUGUUUAGUAUCGAAGCUAACGCGAUAAGUUUUCCGCCUGGGGAGUACGGUCGCAAG